Molecule: non-coding RNA, 3517 nt
Organism: Amborella trichopoda
Lineage: Eukaryota; Viridiplantae; Streptophyta; Magnoliopsida; Amborellales; Amborellaceae
Source: RefSeq, a predicted model, not a curated record
GUAGUAUUGGCUCAUAUUUGGGUCAAUUCCAUACCGGAUGAAAAGAACAGUAUGUUAUGCCAAGAGUGGAGGUCUUGCUGUUCAACCAUUGCGUGCAUGUUUUCAGCUCUGCUGCAGGAAGCUUGGUUUCUUGCUGUACACGUACUAUUUUAUAUUGUUAUUGGAUAUAUUUUGCCCCCUUAGGCUGGAGGAAUAUCCAAAUAACUGGUUAAAGCUCGAUUUGUGAAACUGGGAUAUUCUCUGUGUGUUGUAGUCUUUGGUGGAACAUGCAUAGUUUAGUAUUUCACCCCCAUCAUGAUGCAUGGAGGAUAUGUCCAUCUUCGAUGCCAUAAAAGAAGUUGUUCAUUUCCAUUGAGGGUGUGGAGUAAAAAGAAUUGCCAGUCCCACCUGCACCUCCUGUUUCCAAGCGUUCAAUAAUUGAAGGCAUCGAUGCAUUUAUCAGCGAGGCCAUGGAAGGAUACCAUGCUGCAACAUGGAGAGCUUGCUUCUGUGCACAUGUUUUACUCCAGUUGCCGAGGUUCUCUUUUGAAACUGAAGGAACUAAGCAGGCAUUAGCAAUUGUUUUUUGUAAAGCUGCAUUUUCACGUUCUCUUGACAUUCGAAGCAAGCCGGUGGCUUUGAGGAAACCUUUUUUGCUGGUUAUUGCAUCUCGUUAUAUAUGUUGCCCUGGUUAUAUAAAAAAGGUUUUGGAGAAGGAUGAGGAUGAAGGUCUCACUGUGUGGGUGUGUGGAGUCAGGAGUGGUAUAUAUUUUUGCUCAUUUGUUCCAGCCUGGUCUUUCAUCCGGCUCCGAGAUAAAGUUGGCUGGUGAGUUUGACUGCUUUGCUUUAGUCCCAAAUGGGCAAUAUAGAUUCCUGUGUGUAUCUUUAUACACACACACGCAUCCUAAUUUUGAAUGGUGAUUUUAGAAAUCUCUAAUAAAAUUUUUUAAGAAACUGUUGCCCUUAUAUUAAUUAAAAUACAUGUGUCUUUUUCUUUCUAUAAAACAAAUGGAGGGUGCUUAAUAUAAUUGUGCAUGCUUCGAAGUUACAAAUUUCUAAACUUUUUAUUUCCUUUUUACUUAUCAAAUUUACCUGAAAUUUAGAGGGUGUGUGCUGUUAGAAAGAUGUACCCUAAGAACACUAUAAAAAUAAUUUGAAUAGUGAAAAUGACCAAAAUAGUCCUACAAAUAUUUCAGGGGAUUUUGGUGAAAUGGUUUUUGAUAAUUUUUAUUAUUUCAACUUUUUGGGUCUGUGAUAGAUAGAUGGAUACAUGCCUCAAAUUUCAAAUGAAAAAAAAAAUUAAAAUUAAAAUUCACACGUUCCCAAUGAUCCAAUGAGGGAGCUUUGAAAUUUGAUAGUUUGUAUUCAUUCAUAAUUACCCUCAAUUCCCUCAUUUGAUAAAAGGGAAGACAUUAAGGUAGUUUUAACUAAUAUAAGGGCAACCUAUUGUCAAAACUUUUGGAGUAAUUUCUAAAAUCACCAAUAGGAUGGUUCAUUCUAGUAUGUAUAUAUAAAGGAAGGUGCUUCAGAAGUGCUUUAUCCAUGCUGGAAACGAGACAUUACAGAGAACCCUGGGUUAAAAAUUGUGGAGCUUUACCAUUGGAUUAUCUGGCCUAAAACAGUGGUCUCAGUAUAGUAUGUAUGGAAAUCCGUUGAAAUUGUAAGUAAUGUUUUUAACUUCAAUUACCAAAAACAAAAUUAAAAUUUUGUCUGCAAUACAGGGAUUUAGUUGUUGGUUGAUGGUGUCGGCCAUUGUAUCCUUUUGACUCAUAAAGGUCAAAACUUAUAUUUUUUUUAAAUAUUGAUCCAGAAGAACCAAUAAGAAGAGUAGUUACUUCUGGACAGUUGGUUUAGAUGCUUUUAUUGAGCAAGUGGUGCAUUGCCUUGUGAAGAAACAAUUGUGAAAGAGGCACUAGCAAGCCAAUGAACAAGCCACUGCCAAGUCUUUGAGAAAAUAGGAAAUGUUAGCUGCAACUGUAUCAGUUCAGAUAGGAAAAUGUGGAUCGUAAAGGAUGAAAAUUUUAUUUUUUGCCGUGGUUUCUAAGGAAAUGAAUGUAAACCCCUCGAGAGCCUCGAGAUUAGCAACUGGUUUAAGCAAUAAUGUACUUAUGUCGUGGUUUAAACAUAUGCCCAUUCUUUAGAUAUAUUUGAUUGUGAAGGUUCUGACGUAUUUUCUUUAUUUCAACUAAAACCUUGACAUUUUGGGUGUUCAAUUGGGCAAUGGUUUUUCCCAUCUAUUUUGAAGAGUGAUGUAUAUGACUUCUAAACUAAAGCCACUAGGAUUGAUUUUCUGAUACUUAUGGGUAACUGCGAAGACUUUCGAACAUUUUGUUGUAGUAAUCACAUUGACAAAGUUGGUGAAAAUAUUUGUGGGAUUGGCAUCUAGCUGGACUCUAAAAGCUGCACGCGUACGUGAAUUCUCAUUCUAGAGAUAAGUAGUCAAGAUCCCUUGUCUAGUACUCGGCAACACUGGAAAGAUAACUCUUCUACAUAAGUUGAAGAAUGAGUUUCCAGCUUUCCCGUUGCCAAACAGAUGAAAGUACGAGCACCACAGUUUUAUCAAACAGGGUUUCUAGCUUUCAUCCUACUAAUUUUCACCUGCAUCCCAGAAUUCAGGAAAGUCAUCAGCAAGGGUGAUUCCCAGGGAGACUGCAGUGGAAGUUAGUCUCAUCCCUCUGAUUUUCAAGGAUUUUGUGUGUUUAGUAAUGGUGUUGGCUGAGAAUUUGCAGUGAUAAAUCACAGAGGGGUUUGAAUUGAGAUGCCUAACUGGUGAAGCUGCAAUCACAGAGGGGCUUGAAAUUUAUGGGGAGAGCAAGCAUACAAAUCUUCUGUUGUAUUGAUUUGUCAGUGCAAUUCGUGGGAUAGACAUCAGAUUCUUAGCAGGUGGGUGGUUGUUCCUUGAUUGGAACAUGGUAUGCCUGAGGCCAUAUAGAAAGGCUACAAGGGUAUAUCGAAGCCAAUAAGGGGGCUUUUGGUGCUGUUUAUAAGCGAGUUUUGAGUGAUGGUAGGGUAGUUGGGGUGAAGAGGCUACAUGAUGUAAUGCAGGGUGAGGAAGAGUUUUGGGCAGAAGUGAGCACAAUAGGGAUGAUAUACCGCAUAAACUUUUUAAUGAGGAUGUGGGGCUUUUGUGCUGAUGGUUCACUCUGUACUGGAACCAGAGGCUUGAGAUUACUCUAGGCACAGCAAAGGGCCUAGCUUACUUGCAUCAUGAGUGCCUACAGUGGGUCGUACAUUGCGAUGUGUAACCCGAAAACAUACUACUAGAUGCAGGUUUAGAGCCCAAGAUAGCGGACUUUGGGCUGGCAAAGCUCCUUCAGUGAAGAGGUGAAGGGAGAAACAAUAAGUCCAUUUCAUACUUUAUAGGAGUACGUGGAACCAAUGUGGGGAUAAUGUAAAUGGCGUUGUUACAUGAACUUUCGAACCCAAUUUGGGGAUAAUGCAAAUUGCGUUGUUACAUGAACAUUUAUAUCAAUGUGUAUGCACUUGGAUCUAUUGUAAAGCUUUUGUUAUAUGAACUUUUGUUUUCAGCCGGUUUUAA